AGCCAGCAGCCGCGGUAAAACGUAGGAGGCGAGCGUUAUCCGGAUUUACUGGGCGUAAAGCGCGUGCAGGUGGUUUGAUAAGUCGUGCGUGAAAGCUCCGCGCUUAACGCGGAGAGGCCGUGCGAGACUGUCAGACUAGAGUCAGAUAGAGGCAAGUGGAAUUCCGGGUGUAGUGGUGAAAUGCGUAGAGAUCCGGAGGAAUACCAGUGGCGAAGGCGGCUUGCUGGGUCUAGACUGACACUCAGACGCGAAAGCAUGGGGAGCGAACGGGAUUAGAAACCCCGGUAGUCCAUGCCGUAAACGAUGCAGACUAAGCGGUAGGGUCGCAAGACCUUAGUGCUGAAGCUAACGCGAUAAGUCUGCCGCCUGGGGAGUACGACCGCAAGGUUAAAACUUAAAGGAAUUGGCGGGGGAU
This 415-nucleotide ribosomal RNA is filed under the name uncultured bacterium. RNAcentral's name for it is "bacterial SSU rRNA". It matches the Rfam family "Bacterial small subunit ribosomal RNA", at positions 506 to 921 of the family's 1533-position model. The record is from RNAcentral.